This is a long non-coding RNA of Monodelphis domestica (gray short-tailed opossum), 1025 nucleotides long. The record is from Ensembl. NCBI's taxonomy places the organism in Eukaryota, Metazoa, Chordata, Mammalia, Didelphimorphia, Didelphidae.
CAAUACCUGAUCAAAAGAUGCUAGGUUCAGAGGAUAGAUUGAGACAUAUUUGGAGAGCCAUGGCUAAUGUUGGAAUUUUUUUUUACUAGAUAUAAUUAAAAAAGGAGUCUUGUUUUUUGUGUUUUCUCAGUUGAAGGGAUGGGGAUGGGGUACUAAGAAGGGGAGAAGGCAGAUCUUCAUUUGAAAAGAAAAGAAAAUUUGAAGUGAAUUUAUCAAAAACAAUGUUUUUGAAGUUCACAGACCUCUGGUUAAGAACUCUACAGUUACACAGAUUUCCCUCACAAUUAAUGAGUUAAAUUGUGUACAUUAAACUUAAGCUUUGGGUAGGUAAAGUAAUUUUACACUGUAAAACUGCCUCCUUCCUAUAAGGUCUCCCACCCCACCUCCAUCCCCUUUGAAACAUUGGGGGUGGGGUGGGGAGUAAAUACACCUACUUGUACUUUCUGGCUUUGUGUUUAACUAACUUCUAUAGGCUUUCUAUAGAAAUAAGCAUUUUUGUCUCGUUCUAAUCAUUAUAAACCAAGUCACACAAGCAUUGUUUAAACAAUUUUGCUCUGAAUUCUCUAGUCAGGGUUUCCAGCACUUCAUCUCCAGACCAAAGACUCUUUUUCUGUCCAAAUCUGGAAUUUCCUGUGGAAGGGAGUAAAAAAACACCUAAUUGCUUUCAAGGAAAACAGAUUUGAAAAUUCAGGGACAGCUGUUGAGCAUAUUGUAAAAUCUGCUCUUGGCUCCUGACCAGGAAGGCCUCCUUCUUCACUGCUGGCUGUGUCUGGGAUGGCAGAGAGUGUCAGCCGGCUUAGCAGAACAGAAGCACUAACCAAUGGAUACCAGGAAUCACAAGUGGAAUCUGCUGCCUCUCCCCUUAAACCCACACCUGGAAAGGCACCCCAGAAAAGAUGCGAUAUAGCUGUCAGGUGAUUCCUGGGCUGCUGCUUCUAAUGACUUAAUUAUAUUGUCUGUUCAUGCCCUUCCAUCAUCAUCUGGGAAGAAAUUACUAAUUGUUCAUUGGGAAGAAGAAGAAUUUU